This 480-nucleotide ribosomal RNA is filed under the name uncultured Acaulospora. RNAcentral's name for it is "SSU rRNA". It matches the Rfam family "Eukaryotic small subunit ribosomal RNA", at positions 569 to 1052 of the family's 1831-position model. The record is from RNAcentral. Lineage: Eukaryota; Fungi; Glomeromycota; Glomeromycetes; Diversisporales; Acaulosporaceae.
AGCAGCCGCGGUAAUUCCAGCUCCAAUAGCGUAUAUUAAAGUUGUUGCAGUUAAAAAGCUCGUAGUUGAAUUUCGGGGUCUGUCCAUUGGUCGGGCUUCACGGUCCGUACUGGUGUGAUGGGUUCCUACCUUCUGAAUAACCAGCAUGCCAUUUAGUUGGUGCGCCGGGGAAGCAGAGCUAUUACCUUGAAAAAUUAGAGUGCUUAAAGCAGGCUAGUGCUUGAAUAGAUUAGCAUGGAAUAAUAAAAUAGGACGGCAUGGUUCUAUUUUGUUGGUUUCUAGGAUCACCGUAAUGAUUAAUAGGGAUAGUUGGGGGCAUUAGUAUUCAAUUGUCAGAGGUGAAAUUCUUGGAUUUAUUGAAGACUAACUUCUGCGAAAGCAUUUGCCAAGGAUGUUUUCAUUAAUCAAGAACGAAAGUUAGGGGAUCGAAGACGAUCAGAUACCGUCGUAGUCUUAACCAUAAACUAUGCUGACUAGGGA